This 796-nucleotide ribosomal RNA is filed under the name uncultured Neisseria sp. RNAcentral describes it as "bacterial SSU rRNA". It matches the Rfam family "Bacterial small subunit ribosomal RNA", at positions 62 to 847 of the family's 1533-position model. Lineage: Bacteria; Pseudomonadati; Pseudomonadota; Betaproteobacteria; Neisseriales; Neisseriaceae. The record is from RNAcentral.
UCGGACGGCAGCACAGAGAAGCUUGCUUCUUGGGUGGCGAGUGGCGAACGGGUGAGUAACAUAUCGGAACGUACCGAGUAGUGGGGGAUAACUGAUCGAAAGAUCAGCUAAUACCGCGUACGUCUUGAGAGGGAAAGCAGGGGACCUUCGGGCCUUGCGCUAUUCGAGCGGCCGAUAUCUGAUUAGCUAGUUGGUGGGGUAAAGGCCUACCAAGGCGACGAUCAGUAGCGGGUCUGAGAGGAUGAUCCGCCACACUGGGACUGAGACACGGCCCAGACUCCUACGGGAGGCAGCAGUNGGGAAUUUUGGACAAUGGGCGCAAGCUCGAUCCAGCCAUGCCGCGUGUCUCAAGAAGGCCUUCGGGUUGUAAAGGACUUUUGUCAGGGAAGAAAAGGCUGUUGCUAAUAUCAGCGGCUGAUGACGGUACCUGAAGAAUAAGCACCGGCUAACUACGUGCCAGCAGCCGCGGUAAUACGUAGGGUGCGAGCGUUAAUCGGAAUUACUGGGCGUAAAGCGAGCCCAGACGGUUACUUAAGCAGGAUGUGAAAUCCCCGGGCUCAACCUGGGAACUGCGUUCUGAACUGGGUGACUAGAGUGUGUCAGAGGGAGGUAGAAUUCCACGUGUAGCAGUGAAAUGCGUAGAGAUGUGGAGGAAUACCGAUGGCGAAGGCAGCCUCCUGGGAUAACACUGACGUUCAUGCUCGAAAGCGUGGGUAGCAAACAGGAUUAGAUACCCUGGUAGUCCACGCCCUAAACGAUGUCAAUUAGCUGUUGGGCAACUUGAUUGUUCAGUAGC